This 942-nucleotide ribosomal RNA is filed under the name uncultured bacterium. RNAcentral's name for it is "bacterial SSU rRNA". It matches the Rfam family "Bacterial small subunit ribosomal RNA", at positions 26 to 999 of the family's 1533-position model. The record is from RNAcentral.
AGGAUGAACGCUGGCGGCAUGCCUAACACAUGCAAGUCGAUCGGUAAGGCCCUUCGGGGUACACGAGAGGCGGACGGCUGAGUAACGCGUGGGAACGCACCCUACACUGAGGGAUAAGAUACCGAAAGGUGUUCUAAUACCGCAUACGGUCUUCGGAUUAAAGUCUUCGGACGGUGAAGGAGCGGCCCGCGUCAUAUUAGGUAGUUGGUGGGGUAAUGGCCUACCAAGCCGAUGAUGUGUAGCUGGUCUGAGAGGAUGAUCAGCCAGACUGGAACUGAGAACGGUCCAGACUCCUACGGGAGGCAGCAGUGAGGAAUAUUCCACAAUGGGCGAAAGCCUGAUGGAGCAAUGCCGCGUGCAGGAUGAAGGCCCUCGGGUCGUAAACUGCUUUUAUUAGAGAAGAAUAUGACGGUAACUAAUGAAUAAGGGACGGCUAACUACGUGCCAGCAGCCGCGGUCAUACGUAGGUCCCAAGCGUUAUCCGGAGUGACUGGGCGUAAAGAGUUGCGUAGGCGGCUAAGUAAGCGAGUAAUGAAAACUAUCGGCUCAACCGGUAGCCUGUUAUUCGAACUGCUUGGCUCGAGAUUAUCAGAGGUCGCUGGAAUUCCUAGUGUAGCAGUGAAAUGCGUAGAUAUUAGGAAGAACACCAAUGGCGUAGGCAGGCGACUGGGGUAUUUCUGACGCUAAGGCACGAAAGCGUGGGGAGCGAACCGGAUUAGAUACCCGGGUAGUCCACGCCGUAAACGAUGGAUGCUAAUUGUUCGGGGUAUCGACCCCUUGAGUAAUAAAGCUAACGCGUUAAGCAUCCCGCCUGUGGAGUACGGGCCGCAAGGCUAAAACAUAAAGGAAAUUGACGGGGACCCGCACAAGCGGUGGGAGGAUGUUCUUUUAAUUCGAUGAUAGCGAAGAAUCUUUACCAGGGCUUGACAUCCCUAGAAUUUC